Molecule: long non-coding RNA, 1424 nt
Organism: Trifolium pratense (red clover)
Lineage: Eukaryota; Viridiplantae; Streptophyta; Magnoliopsida; Fabales; Fabaceae
Exons: 2
Source: RefSeq, a predicted model, not a curated record
UGUAUGUUUUUUUUCCUUAUUUAUAGAGAUUUAGUUUUGUUAAUUUUUUUUUUUUGUUAUAGAGAUUUGAUUUUAUUAAUUACUACACUAUUAAUUAUAUGUAAUUAUUUAAUGAGUUGUAAUCAUGUGAUUGGUUGUGACUAAUAUUAAUGCUUAGGUGAGGACUCACCUAAGAAUUUCUCUUAUUAUAAAAAUAAUAAUUUUACUUCAAUACAAAACACUAGUCCAAUUCCCUCAAAAAAAAAAAAAAACUAGUCCAAUCUAAACACAAAACUCCACCGUGUGCCUUCCUUCUCCUUCGUCUCCUACUCUUCAAACACCACCGCAAAAUCGACAAUCUACCUCAAUCUGUAGCUUUCUAAAUUCCCUCUCACUGUUCAAUCCCUAGAUUUUUAGGGUUUCAGAUCUAUAUUCCCUUUCACCAUUCAAUCCCUAGCUUUUUAGGGUUUUAGAUCUAUUCCUCUUCCUCGUGUUUUUUCUUUGACCAAAAUUAAUGGCUUCAAUCCGAAAGACCCUAUCUCCCCGACCUUCUUAGUGGCGUUAUAGUUUCAGAGAUUAUCUAGCGGCGUUGGUGGCUACGAUAAGGGUUUAAUGGUUGAUCAUGUAAGCUUUAGCUUAAGCAUGAACACUGAGAAGGAAUUAACAGAUUGUAGAACUGAAUUUGUUGAAGGAUUUUUUCUGGUUUGUGGUUCUAGGUUUGUCUGUUCUUUUUUCUUCUAGUUUGUUUUUCUGGGUUUGUUUGUUUUUGUUGUUGUGGCUGAAUUUUUUUGGUUAAUUUGGUUAUGAGAUAUCGAUUGUUUGGCUAUGAGAUUCUGGCUGAAUUUUUGUGGCUCAAUUUAAUGUUAGGAAGAAGCAUUUUAAUGUUUUAACUCACUGUUAUGCAGGUAUUUUGGUGGGGUUUUUGAAAUCAAGUCAUGUGUGAAUCCACUGAGAUAAGGGAAAUCAUCUUCUAGAGUUCUAGCAAACUAUAUUUUGUCAAUCUCAAGUCGUUUUGCAACACCAAAGUUUUGCAUUGGAGAAAUACGAUGAAAAGGAAUUACGAUCAAAGAAAGGUUGGAAUUGAUAAUGAUCAUUUAAAGAAAGUAACAUAAGGCAUGUUGUAGGUGAUUCUUCGUAUGAUUAAGUAGCCAAGAUUGUCGGGGUAUUGAAAGGAAAUUUACUAUUUUACAGUUUGCUCAAUUUUAGUUGUAUUUAUAGUUUUAAGAAAAUAUUGUCUUAGUUUGUAUUAAAAAGUCAUGGGAGCAUUAACCACGACUUUAGGUGUUUUAUAGUUUUUUAUUUGAAUAAGUCUUCAUGUGUUUUAUAGUAGCAGUACAUGUUUGCUACUUUUUAGUACCCAUACCAUAGAGUGGAGGUACUCCACUAUGCAUUUAUGUAAUACUAUACAAAUAUUUGAAUAAAGGAGUUCAUGUAUUUUUGCCUCA